CCCAGACUCCUACGGGAGGCAGCAGUGGGGAAUAUUGCACAAUGGGGGGAACCCUGAUGCAGCGACGCCGCGUGGGUGAAGGAGCACCUCGGUGCGUAAAGCCCUAUCGGCAGGGAAGAAACCGACGGUACCUGACUAAGAAGCCCCGGCUAACUACGUGCCAGCAGCCGCGGUAAUACGUAGGGGGCAAGCGUUAUCCGGAUUCACUGGGGGUAAAGGGAGCGUAGACGGCGACGCAAGUCUGGAGUGAAAGGCCGGGGCGCAACCCCGGGACUGCUCUGGAAACUGCGGCGCUGGAGUACGGGAGGGGCAGGCGGAAUUCCCGGUGUAGCGGUGAAAUGCGUAGAUAUCAGGAGGAACACCGGCGGCGAAGGCGGACUGCUGGGCCGUGACUGACGUUGAGGCUCGAGAGCGUGGGGAGCAAACAGGAUUAGAUACCCCAGUAAA
Molecule: ribosomal RNA, 447 nt
Filed under: uncultured bacterium
Lineage: Bacteria
Description: bacterial SSU rRNA
Rfam family: Bacterial small subunit ribosomal RNA
Source: RNAcentral